UAAAGCAAGAAAGGGCGUAUGGGGAAUGCCUAGGCACACUCCGGCGAAGAAGGACGCAGCAAACAGCGAAAUGCGACGGUGAGCGGUAAGCACGUGAAGAGCCGUCGAUAUCCGAAUGGGGGAACCCACACGGAGUCAUAUCCGUGUAUCACAUGUCGAAUACAUAGACAUGAUGAGGCGAGACGCAGGGAACUGAAACAUCUAAGUACCUGCAGGAAGAGAAAAUAAGAAUGAUUUUCUGAGUAGCGGCGAGCGAAAGGGAAAGAGCCCAAACCGAUCUGAGGAUCGGGGUAGUAGGAUCAUCGAGAAAUCAAACAGAGGAUCAUAGAGGAAUCACAUGGGAAGGUGAGCGAGAGAGGGUGAGAGCCCCGUACUCGAAAUGAGAGACUGGAGAGAGAUGACACCUGAGUAGGGCGGGACACGAGAAAUCCUGUCUGAAUCAGCCGGGACCAUCCGGCAAGGCUAAAUACGAGAGAGUGACCGAUAGUGAACCAGUACCGUGAGGGAAAGGUGAAAAGAACCCCGGGAGGGGAGUGAAAGAGAACCUGAAACCAUAUGCCUACAAGAAGUCAGAGCCCGUUAAAGGGUGAUGGCGUGCCUUUUGUAGAAUGAACCGGCGAGUUACUGUAUGGAGCGAGGUUAAGCAGGAUAUGCGGAGCCGAAGCGAAAGCGAGUCUUAAGAGGGCGCGAGUUGCAUGCAGUAGACCCGAAACCGGGUGAUCUAGCCAUGACCAGGUUGAAGUUGGGGUAAAACCCGAUGGAGGACCGAACCGACCCCCGUUGAAACGUUGGCGGAUGAGUUGUGGCUAGGGGUGAAAUUCCAAUCGAACCCGGAGAUAGCUGGUUCUCCCCGAAAUAGCUUUAGGGCUAGCGUCGAGAGAAGAGUUGCGUGAAGGUAGAGCACUGAAUAUGUGAUGGCCCCAUCUCGGGGUACUGAGCAUAAUCAAACUGCGAAUGUCACGCCAACAUGCUCGGCAGUCAGACAGCGGGUGAUAAGGUCCGUUGUCAAGAGGGAAACAGCCCAGACCAUCAGCUAAGGUCCCAAAAUGUAUGCUAAGUGGAAAAGGAUGUGGAGAUGUACAGACAACUAGGAGGUUGGCUCAGAAGCAGCCAUCCUUUAAAGAGUGCGUAACAGCUCACUAGUCGAAUGACUCUGCGCCGAUAAUUUACCGGGGCUAAGCAUACUACCGAAGCUAUGGAUCCCAAGGGAUGGUAGGGGAGCGUUCCAUGAACGGAGAAGUACGACCGAAAGGACGUGUGGAGAUCAUGGAAGAGAGAAUGCCGGUGUGAGUAGCGGAACGUGGGUGAGAAUCCCACGCACCGAAAACCCAAGGUUUCCAGAGGAAGGUUCGUCCGCUCUGGGUAAGUCGGGACCUAAGGCGAGGCCGAAAGGCGUAGUCGAUGGACAACAGGUAGAGAUUCCUGUACCCGUAUAUAUGUGAAGGAAUGACGGAGAGAGGAAGCUGCAGCCAGCGGCUGGAAGAGCUGGUGCAAGCGAGAUAUCGGGAUGGCAGGCAAAUCCACCAUCCGAAACGAGAAGGCGUGAAGCGUACGGAAAGCUACGGCGAGUACGGAAGGCAGUGGAGGAACUUCCAAGAAAAGUUUCUAACGUUAAGUAUAUAUGGCCCGUACCGAAAAUGGACACACAUGGGUGAGGAGAGAAUCCUAAGGUGAGCGAGAGAACUAUAGCUAAGGAACUCUGCAAAAUGACUCCGUAACUUAGGGAGAAGGAGUGCUCAUAGAGAUAUGAGCCGCAGUGAAACGGCCCAAGCGACUGUUUACCAAAAACACAGCUCUCUGCUAAGCCGCAAGGCGAAGUAUAGGGGGUGACGCCUGCCCGGUGCUGGAAGGUUAAGGGGAGGGGUUAACGCAAGUGAAGCCCUGAACUGAAGCCCCAGUAAACGGCGGCCGUAACUAUAACGGUCCUAAGGUAGCGAAAUUCCUUGUCAGGUAAGUUCUGACCC
This 1964-nucleotide ribosomal RNA is filed under the name human gut metagenome. Its description in RNAcentral is "bacterial LSU rRNA". It matches the Rfam family "Bacterial large subunit ribosomal RNA", at positions 1 to 1989 of the family's 2925-position model. The record is from RNAcentral.